AUUAAAAUAGACUAGAGUAGUAAAAUUAAAUUUAGAUUUCAGAGAGCUAGUGGAUGGUGCGAACUAGUAUUAAAUUGAUUUGAACUUGCUAGAUACAAUCUAUUUAACCGUAGUUGGUAUAAAGACUAGUACGAGAGGAUUAUUUAAAAAAAUAAUCAAUUAGGGUGGUACCGCGAGUAAUAUCCUCGUCCCUAAA
This 196-nucleotide non-coding RNA is filed under the name Clostridium sp. RNAcentral describes it as "T-box sequence". It matches the Rfam family "T-box leader". Rfam says of the family: Uncharged tRNA acts as the effector for transcription antitermination of genes in the T-box leader family. T-boxes are found upstream of many aminoacyl-tRNA synthetase genes and some amino acid biosynthetic genes usually in Gram-positive bacteria. The anticodon of a specific tRNA base pairs to a specifier sequence within the T-box motif, and the NCCA acceptor tail of the tRNA base pairs to a conserved bulge in the T-box antiterminator hairpin. The record is from RNAcentral. Lineage: Bacteria; Bacillati; Bacillota; Clostridia; Eubacteriales; Clostridiaceae.